AACGAACGCUGGCGGCAGGCUUAACACAUGCAAGUCGAGCGCCCCGCAAGGGGAGCGGCAGACGGGUGAGUAACACGUGGGAACGUACCCUGAACUACGGAACAGCUCCGGGAAACUGGAAUUAAUACCGUAUGUGUCCUGAGGGACAAAGGUUUACCGGUUCAGGAUCGGCCCGCGUCCGAUUAGCUAGUUGGUGGGGUAAUGGCCUACCAAGGCGACGAUCGGUAGCUGGUCUGAGAGGAUGAUCAGCCACAUUGGGACUGAGACACGGCCCAAACUCCUACGGGAGGCAGCAGUGGGGAAUAUUGGACAAUGGGCGCAAGCCUGAUCCAGCCAUGCCGCGUGAGUGAUGAAGGUCUUAGGAUUGUAAAGCUCUUUCACCGGGGACGAUAAUGACGGUACCCGGAGAAGAAGCCCCGGCUAACUUCGUGCCAGCCGCCGCCGUAAAAC
Molecule: ribosomal RNA, 450 nt
Filed under: uncultured bacterium
Lineage: Bacteria
Description: bacterial SSU rRNA
Rfam family: Bacterial small subunit ribosomal RNA
Source: RNAcentral